Helianthus annuus (common sunflower) is the source of this 1048-nucleotide long non-coding RNA. RefSeq lists it as uncharacterized. The record is from RefSeq and is a predicted model, not a curated record. The transcript has 4 exons. Lineage: Eukaryota; Viridiplantae; Streptophyta; Magnoliopsida; Asterales; Asteraceae.
AUUUUCUGCCCAUGAUCUCCACUUCUCAGCAGGUUUUCUCCUUAUUUUAAGACCCAUUAUCUCUAAACCAACUCCUACAAAUAUGAUCUAUUGCUAUAUAAUGCAGCAGUUUUAAAGAGGUUUUCUAGAAUGUUGAGGCGUAAAUCAUAGAGCAGUUUACACACCAUCAGAAAACCCUAAUUCCUCUAACCUUUCACCUCUUCCAUAAAAUUUCUAGGUUCUGCGAGGGUUUCUUCCAAAUCCCCCAUCAAAUUUAACCAAUAUGCUCCACCAAACAACCAAAAUCACUUUCUAAUCUCAACCACACUAAUCUAAUCGGUACACACACAAUUGUAACUAGAUGGAUGCGUAUCAGUCGGUCACACUACUAUACGAAGGUUUUCGUUGGAGGACUUCCAUGGGAGACUCAUAGCAAGACGGGUACUCUGAACAAUCUGAGGGGAUUUUGGAAGCAAUUGUAAUUAUGUAAAAAUCAUCCUUAGUUCUGCCCAAAUUUCUUCUCUCACCACCUACCAGAUUGAAGCCUAAAAUCAUCACCGGAAGCUAUCAUCGUCGCCAUAACAUGUUUUAGAGUUUUUAUGUCGAGAUUUGUUAUGACCAACUCCUCUUCGAUGGAGACGAGUGAGAUACUGUCAAAAUUUCCAACUGAAUGGAGACGUACUUAUCUAUGUGCACUUUUAACCAGACGGGUUUAUGAGGCUACAGCUUUUCGGCUUAACAAAGGGCAUGAUAGAGGGGUGAUUACAUUUGCUGAAAACAUUGAAGCAAUGAACAUCAAUGGAUCACUUUCUGAACCAGACUAAUGAUGAGGUCUGCCAUUAUUAUUGCUAAUGAAUAUACAUCUAGACUUACUCGCUAUUUAUAUUGAGGUUAAUUUUUUUAGUUCUUACUUUGCCUACCAUUUUGUAGAUACAUGGUCAGUUAAAAAAUUUAUAUUUUUUUUAGUUCUUACUUUGCCUACCAUUUUGUAAAUAUGUCUACAUUUAAAAUACAGAUGCAAUGUUCCUCAUCAUUGCCUUCCAUGAAUCUAUGUUUGGUUGAUUACUUA